AACGAGUGUCGUGAACCGGUCCUGGCUGGAAGCGCCGGCUGCUGCCGCGGCUCCCGCAGGGCGCGAUCGCUUCCCAGCGGGGAUUUACGGCGCUCCCGAAGGCGCCCGCUUCUCCCGGCUGCCGCCGAGCCCCGCGCUGCAGCCGGCUGCCUCGUCCCUCCGCCGGGCUCUUAUCUGCCGCCGCGAGAAGUGGCGGCUUGUGCGGCUUCGCUCCCGCGCCGCGCUGCGAUAAGGCGGCCGGCGGGAGGAUCCGGGCUCCCGCGAAGCGCGUCGGGGGGAGCGCACGUGUCUCCAGCACCCCUGGCACGGGGGCUGAGCGCCUCCGCGAGAGCCCGGCAGUGCCGACGGGUGCAAGAGGCGCCCCGGCCCGGCCCUGGGGUGUCGUGUCCGACGAUCGCCGCCGCGAGCCGGGGGGACACGACGGGGGAGUGCGCUCGGUUGGGAGCAGCGUGGGGAAAGGACUUUGGCAAGCGCUCGCUGCGGACUGAAGGUUAYGAACCACGCUGCGACCAGCGGGCUCCAUCCAAGCGGAAAACCAGCGGCGGCACCCGCAGCCCGGAGCAAAGCGCUGGGUGUCCCRGUGUCUCGCCCGCCUCCCCUCCCCGUACCUCAUCCAUGUCUCCCCUCGCUUCGCCCGCAGCAGCGACCCGAAGGGGAUGGAAACGGCCGGGUCCCGCUUCCCCGCAGAAGGGCCGUCCUCAUUACGGCCACCGACGCGUCUUGCUCCCCUCGCUGUCCGCAGGGGAAAGUCCAGCAGCCACGUGGAAGCACCGAGACGUUGUCCCGCACGCGGCYGCCGGCACCGCGAGGUUCCUGCUCCCGCGCCUCGCGCUGCCCCGAGCUGGCGGUGCCUGCGGGAACGCUGCGGGACCAGGGCUGUUCCCGCCGGGCUCAGCCGGCAAACCUGGGGCGCCAGCACCCCGGCAAGGCAGCCGAUGGGCUUGGACACCACGACGGGGGGUUUCCCAGCAGGAAUCUUAUUGGCUCUGGAGGUUUGGACCAGGUUCGGGUCACGUUUGUGAGCUUUUCUCUACUCCCAGAAAGCCUUGCAACUUUGCUUUUUUUUGUUGUUUUUAA
Molecule: long non-coding RNA, 1077 nt
Filed under: Apteryx haastii (Great spotted kiwi)
Lineage: Eukaryota; Metazoa; Chordata; Aves; Apterygiformes; Apterygidae
Description: lncRNA (ENSAHAG00000009710.1)
Source: RNAcentral